This 783-nucleotide ribosomal RNA is filed under the name Trichomonas vaginalis G3. RNAcentral's name for it is "28S ribosomal RNA". It matches the Rfam family "Eukaryotic large subunit ribosomal RNA", at positions 1077 to 1888 of the family's 3401-position model. Lineage: Eukaryota; Parabasalia; Trichomonadida; Trichomonadidae. The record is from RNAcentral.
UGUUAGGCAUUUACCUAACUGGAAAUGCUUAAAUGAAUUAGCGUUACAAGUGGGCUCUGACCGGUAAGCGGUCAUGGCGAAAUGGGAUGAACCAUACGUCUGAAUAAGGUGCCGAAAUGUACUAUCACUGAUACCAUAAAGGGAGUCCAUGUAUUUAGACAGCAGGUCGGUGCCCCUAAAAGCAGGUAUCCGCUAAAGAGUGUGUUAAAACUCACCUGCCGAAUACUAGGGCCCCGAAAAUGAAUGGCGCAUAUAGUACUACCGAUCUCAGACAUCAGUUCUAUUGAACUGAGAGUAGGGGGAUGUGGACAUUUUUGUGAAGGUGCAAUGUGAGUUGGACUGGAAGAAUGUCUAUUACAGAUCCUAAUUGAAGUAGCGAUUAUCCAGGCUUGUAUCCUGGGGGCUGAUGAGGAGUAGGGUUUCUGGACAACUUAAACAGAUCCAGAGUUAGUCGAUCCUAAUCUCAAUAAUGGGAGAAAGGGAGUACAGUUGAUAUUCUGUAACUGACAACAGUUCGCGGCAACGCAUACUAUUUUUCUCCGCCAAUCUUAUACCGUUGGUAGGGAUCUCUUUCCUACAUGACAGUACUAAUACCCAGGGAAACUGGUCAUCAGGCGAACUGCGGCGUUCUGCUGGCAAAACAUAGCUUCGGUUAUGUCAAUGGCUAUUGGAUUGGUCCAUGAAGCGAAAAAUAGUUUACUGUGUCACUCGUACCGAUAACCGCAUCAGGUCUUCUAGGUAAGUAGCCUAUGGCCAUUGAGGCAUGUUCCCUCCUUAAAAUCG